RNAcentral lists this ribosomal RNA (1150 nucleotides) under Leuconostoc mesenteroides. RNAcentral's name for it is "bacterial SSU rRNA". It matches the Rfam family "Bacterial small subunit ribosomal RNA", at positions 340 to 1479 of the family's 1533-position model. The record is from RNAcentral. Lineage: Bacteria; Bacillati; Bacillota; Bacilli; Lactobacillales; Lactobacillaceae.
UGGGGGGGGGGCGGCGGGAGGGAAUUCUUCCCCAAAGGGCGAAAACCCCUGAUGGAACCACCGCCGCCUUUUUGAAGAAGGCUUUUGGGUUCAUAAAGCCCUUUUGUAUGGGAAGAACAGCUAGAAUAGGAAAUGAUUUUAGUUUGACGGUACCAUACCAGAAAGGGACGGCUAAAUACGUGCCAGCAGCCGCGGUAAUACGUAUGUCCCGAGCGUUAUCCGGAUUUAUUGGGCGUAAAGCGAGCGCAGACGGUUUAUUAAGUCUGAUGUGAAAGCCCGGAGCUCAACUCCGGAAUGGCAUUGGAAACUGGUUAACUUGAGUGCAGUAGAGGUAAGUGGAACUCCAUGUGUAGCGGUGGAAUGCGUAGAUAUAUGGAAGAACACCAGUGGCGAAGGCGGCUUACUGGACUGCAACUGACGUUGAGGCUCGAAAGUGUGGGUAGCAAACAGGAUUAGAUACCCUGGUAGUCCACACCGUAAACGAUGAACACUAGGUGUUAGGAGGUUUCCGCCUCUUAGUGCCGAAGCUAACGCAUUAAGUGUUCCGCCUGGGGAGUACGACCGCAAGGUUGAAACUCAAAGGAAUUGACGGGGACCCGCACAAGCGGUGGAGCAUGUGGUUUAAUUCGAAGCAACGCGAAGAACCUUACCAGGUCUUGACAUCCUUUGAAGCUUUUAGAGAUAGAAGUGUUCUCUUCGGAGACAAAGUGACAGGUGGUGCAUGGUCGUCGUCAGCUCGUGUCGUGAGAUGUUGGGUUAAGUCCCGCAACGAGCGCAACCCUUAUUGUUAGUUGCCAGCAUUCAGAUGGGCACUCUAGCGAGACUGCCGGUGACAAACCGGAGGAAGGCGGGGACGACGUCAGAUCAUCAUGCCCCUUAUGACCUGGGCUACACACGUGCUACAAUGGCGUAUACAACGAGUUGCCAGCCCGCGAGGGUGAGCUAAUCUCUUAAAGUACGUCUCAGUUCGGAUUGUAGUCUGCAACUCGACUACAUGAAGUCGGAAUCGCUAGUAAUCGCGGAUCAGCACGCCGCGGUGAAUACGUUCCCGGGUCUUGUACACACCGCCCGUCACACCAUGGGAGUUUGUAAUGCCCAAAGCCGGUGGCCUAACCUUUAGGAAGGAGCCGUCUAAGCAGACAGAGCUGAG